AUUGAACGCUGGCGGAAUGCUUUACACAUGCAAGUCGAGCGGCAGCGCGGGGGCAACCCUGGCGGCGAGCGGCGAACGGGUGAGUAAUACAUCGGAACGUGUCCGUUAAGUGGGGGAUAGCUCGGCGAAAGCCCGGAUUAAUACCGCAUAAGCUCUGAGGAGGAAAGCGGGGGCUCCGUAAGGCCUCGCGCUGUUGGAGCCGGCCGAUGUCGGAUUAGCUAGUUGGUGGGGUAAA
This 235-nucleotide ribosomal RNA is filed under the name uncultured bacterium. Its description in RNAcentral is "partial 16S ribosomal RNA". It matches the Rfam family "Bacterial small subunit ribosomal RNA", at positions 30 to 261 of the family's 1533-position model. The record is from RNAcentral.